AAGACCUUGCGCUUUUGGAGCGGCCGAUGCCUGAUUAGCUAGUUGGUGGGGUAAUGGCCUACCAAAGCUUCGAUCAGUAGCUGGUCUGAGAGGACGGCCAGCCACACUGGGAUUGAGACACGGCCCAGACUCCUACGGGAGGCAGCAGUGGGGAAUUUUGGACAAUGGGCGCAAGCCUGAUCCAGCCAUGCCGCGUGAGUGAAGAAGGCCUUCGGGUUGUAAAGCUCUUUCAGCCGGGAAGAAAAGGUUGCGAUUAAUAAUCGCAAUUUAUGACGGUACCGGAAGAAGAAGCACCGGCUAACUACGUGCCAGCAGCCGCGGUAAUACGUAGGGUGCGAGCGUUAAUCGGAAUUACUGGGCGUAAAGGGUGCGCAGGCGGUUUUGUAAGUCAGAUGUGAAAUCCCCGGGCUUAACCUGGGAACU
Molecule: ribosomal RNA, 423 nt
Filed under: uncultured bacterium
Lineage: Bacteria
Description: bacterial SSU rRNA
Rfam family: Bacterial small subunit ribosomal RNA
Source: RNAcentral